GGUUUUUUGAAUUUAACUAAAAAAUCAGGCCUGCCCACUGAUAAAGGGCUGCAGUAUUUUGACUGUACAAAGGUAGCAUAAUCAUUAGUCUUUUAAUUAAGGACUGGUAUGAAAGGUUAGACGGGGAUAUGCUGUCUCGAUUAUAGAAAUAAAUUUUAUUUUUAAGGAAAAGAGCUUAAAUAUAUCAAGGGGACGAGAAGACCCUAUUAAAUUUGAUAUAAUAAGUUAUUUUUAAUUGUAUAAAAGAAAUAGGUGUAUAUUAGUUUUGCUGGGGCGGUGUGUUUAUAACUUUAUUAUAUUUUAAUUUAGUGGAUAGCGGGUUUUUGAUCCGAAAGGAUCGAUAUUAGAUAAAAUUACUAUAGGGAUAACAGCGUAAUAUUUUUUGAGAGUUCUUAUUGACAAGAAUGUUUGCGACCUCGAUGUUGGAUUAAGAAGUCUUAUUGGUGCAGUAGUUUUUGAAGAAGGUCUGUUCGACCUUUAAAUUCUU
Molecule: ribosomal RNA, 487 nt
Filed under: Thyropygus quietus
Lineage: Eukaryota; Metazoa; Arthropoda; Diplopoda; Spirostreptida; Harpagophoridae
Description: partial 16S ribosomal RNA
Rfam family: Bacterial large subunit ribosomal RNA
Source: RNAcentral